GCGGUUGUCGUCCAGUCCUUUAAUUAGGGGAAAACCUGGUCUAGGACACGGGGUUUCCAACCCCGGAACACGGGUUCAAAUCCCGUCGACCGCA
This 94-nucleotide transfer RNA is filed under the name Nitrososphaerota archaeon. Its description in RNAcentral is "Thaumarchaeota archaeon tRNA-Gly". It matches the Rfam family "tRNA". Rfam says of the family: Transfer RNA (tRNA) molecules are approximately 80 nucleotides in length. Their secondary structure includes four short double-helical elements and three loops (D, anti-codon, and T loops). Lineage: Archaea; Thermoproteati; Nitrososphaerota. The record is from RNAcentral.